Bemisia tabaci is the source of this 3690-nucleotide long non-coding RNA. RefSeq lists it as uncharacterized. The record is from RefSeq and is a predicted model, not a curated record. Lineage: Eukaryota; Metazoa; Arthropoda; Insecta; Hemiptera; Aleyrodidae.
AGUCGGCUACGGCAGCGUUAAUUACCCGUUGGUCCAACUAGAGUGUUUGUUGAUCAUAACUCAGGCAAAUAGCUCGUUUCUUCCCAUCAUAAAAUCCCGAGGGCUAGACCACACCGAUCUGUGACAUUGGCUCGAUUGCGUCUAUUUGCUCAGCUUGGCCCACUUACUCUGCCGUGAUAGCGCGAAGAGAGCAGUAAGUGUAGGUUGCGAUGAGCCUCGAGACACAUAAAAGCAUGUCUUAACCGUGGCUCAUACACAAAAGCACUUACUCCUCUCUUCGCUAUCAGGGCAGUACUGGAGGCGAGGCGCGAGGAUUGCAGCGAGGCACGAAUGUUGUCUACCAAGAACUUGGUUCAAUUCAGGAUCGGAGGCGGAUUGCAUUGAGCAGAGGGGAACCAAGUUUUUGAGUGCCAACAUCAAGUAUCAUAAUUUCACGGUUUCGUUUUUCGCUCGUGCCGAGGGCUUUCAAAAAUCUAACUCCCGGGUGUUUAUGAGAAUAUUACCAUGAUGAGGCAUGUAAGGUUAAACGGCGUAAUGCUUCAUAUCCUGACUUUCAAGAAACCCCAAAUGCCUUUUUUUGGCAUUAUGAAUUUCUUUGAGUUAAUGCUGAAAUUACAGCUUAGAACCGGCGUGAUUAGACUUGAAAAUUUUAAAAGUUGAAGCCGAUAAUAUCGAGCAGAUUUUCUAAAAGGCAAAAUAGAUCCGCUGGGCUGGACUUCGUGAUUUUCGCAGAUGAUCGGCAAACAAUGACCACUUGAUGAACAUGCAUACUGCUCUCUUUAAAUUUUCGAAGUAUGACUCAGGUCUCCUUAGUACUAGGACUGUGAGUGUUGCAUACACAAAACAUGAAGCCGCACCGGUUUUUCAUAAGUUUGCACUGCAAGAUUUGGGGUUUAUUGUCGCUUGGUAUAUAUGUUAUGCGAUGCCAUAUUUAUUUGGUAUCUGGUUACCCUGACACGAAGAUUUGCAAUUAGGGUAGUGUCAGACUGAUAUUAGUCCAGUACCAAUAGGAGUUUAUGAAUGCAAGAAAGAGGUCAGAAGAGGUUAAAGCUGAUUUUUAUGUAUUUUUGGUCGCUUAAUCCGAAUUUGAUGCUUCCCACCAAAUCCGCCUUGUGCGUUUUCCGGAAAAGCUGGAAAACUGCCGAAAAUCACGUUUUUACGCGCUUUUCCGGGAAUAAAUAGCUUAAUAUUCGUCGGAACGAAAAAUGAGUUAUUAGCAAAAAUGUAGCCAAGUAAAUUGCCGACAAAAUUGAAAUGAACAAGUUUUCACUUGGACUGAAAUUUAAGCCACCAGAGCCCGCGAAAGUUCGAAAUUUGCCGAAAAUCACGUUUUCUCGCGCUUUUCCGGUCGUAACUUCCUUAAUUCACCUUGAAUCGAAAAAGUCAACAGAAAUGAAAUUUUAGAUAAUCAAAUUUUGAACGAAUCUUGAUGAGAAAUUUUUUGAUAAGAGUCAUUUUUCGGCCGCUAGAGCGCGCUGAAGUGCAAAAAACCCCUGAAGAUAGGCAAUUUUGUCGACUUUCUUCUCGAUUCCGAUGAUAUUAGCGGUUCAUGCACUGUAAAUUCAAGAAUCGAUGGAUAUUUGCAAAACAGAGAACAUCAGGAAUUACUUUUUCUAAAAUAGAGCUCCCCCCCCUUCUACACCUAACCGCAAGCGCAACAGCCGCAAAUACAUGCAUAAAAUGGAUUCUAAAGGAUAGUUUUUUUUAAACAAAAAUUGUAAAAAAUAAUUGGAGGGCUAAGAAAAAACAGUGGAUUUUAUGAACAAUUUGGAGAUUUUAAUCAAUCAUUAUAGUAGGUAACACAUGAGAAUCAAAUGCAGCGAAAUAUUAAACCUUGAUCUGGAACACAUUGAUACAAGUCUUUCCCUCCUCCUUUUCGAGAGAUUGUCGACAACGGUUUUGCAUCAGGACAGAUAAUCAAUGGAAGCAAUGGAUGCAAUGGAAGUUUAUUGUUUUUUGUUUGUAAGUCUGCAGGAAUCCUUUCACCACAAAAGAAACAACAUCGCUUAAAGUCAAAUUCUGGCUCUUCGGAGCGCACUUGCCUCGGCUCGAUAGAACAUUCCUGAAUUUUUCGCAUCCGCUUCAAAUGAGCAACGAUUAAUUUUUCAUUCACAUAUUCUUUUUGAAACUUAUAAUGCACUGUCACUUUAGCGAGGGAGGCAAUAACUCGAGGUUUUUUAUCUUUUCUUCUAACACUUGCUCUCCGCAAUGAGGGCAAGCCUUUCUUCCCUGCCAACACUGUUCUGGCCGUUUCAAGCGGCCUUUCACAAAUAAAACACAAAUUCAUCACGGAUUAUCGAUAUGGCGCAAGAAUUAACGUAACAUUCCGACGUCAAAAUGAUUAUAAUCAGUGGAAAACUCAAGGAAUCAGUGAAUUUACACGUGCAUUUAAGCUAGAGACGAAAUAUGUUGAAAGACAGAGAUUCGACCGAUGACUGAAAAUUAUCAGUCUCAGAUUUCCAGUGUCACAUUUUUUGACAUAAUCUCCUCAAAAAUGCAUAUUAGCAGAAGCUGGCCGAAAUAUCUUCGCAGGGUGUUAGAUUUAGCAUGAUGUACAAUGAGAGUUUUCACCCCCUCUAGCCCUCCUCCCCCGAUCAUGGCUGCCUUUUCACUUUUCACAAAGCGCGGCCACCACAAUCCGUUGAAACAUGCCCGGUCCUAUACCUGCUGCUAUUGUAUUGCAGCACUCCACGAGGCUUCGAAGUGGGCUUUCCCGGCGUUACGAGUGACCACAGCUGCUUCGGCCUGGUCAAAGAGCUAUGGUCAAGAUUGAGGAUGUUACCUAUGUUUUCCUCCAGGCUCCAAGUUGGACGAGAGUACAAAAUGCAACGUACGUUCACUUGAUUUUCGUCCUUGUAUACACAAAUGUCAUCCUCCAUGCAAUGCUACGGAUUCACUCGUCAAAGUUGCGAGCGGAAUAAAAGCUUUACAACAAGUUUUAAACGAAAUACGCGAUUCAAAUAUACAUUUCUGCCAUGAUACGCAAUUAUUUUUCAAAUGAUAUGCUGCUAAUAUCAUCGGAAUCGAGAAGAAAGUCGACAAAAUUGCCUAUCUUCAGGGGUUUUUUGCACUUCAGCGCGCUCUAGCGGCCGAAAAAUGACUCUUAUCAAAAAAUUUCUCAUCAAGAUUCGUUCAAAAUUUGAUUAUCUAAAAUUUCAUUUCUGUUGACUUUUUCGAUUCAAGGUGAAUUAAGGAAGUUACGACCGGAAAAGCGCGAGAAAACGUGAUUUUCGGCAAAUUUCGAACUUUCGCGGGCUCUGGUGGCUUAAAUUUCAGUCCAAGCGAAAACUUGUUCAUUUCAAUUUUGUCGGCAAUUUACUUGGCUACAUUUUUGCUAAUAACUCAUUUUUCGUUCCGACGAAUAUUAAGCUAUUUAUUCCCGGAAAAGCGCGUAAAAACGUGAUUUUCGGCAGUUUUCCAGCUUUUCCGGAAAACGCACAAGGCGGAUUUGGUGGGAAGCAUCAAAUUCGGAUUAAGCGACCAAAAAUACAUAAAAAUCAGCUUUAACCUCUUCUGACCUCUUUCUUGCAUUCAUAACCCCCUUUUUAGAUCUAUUGGUAGUUGGUACUGGACUAUAUUAUAGCUCAUUAUGAGAAAGGAAGGGAUGGGGUCGAAAAAUAAAAAAUGGAGCAUUACUUAUUUUAUACAGUGCUUUAUACUUUAAAUAAAACAUUAUCAAAUUUUCCGAUU